CAAUCCAUCAGUCGUCCGUCGCCAACGCAAAGCCCGUGCUCUCUCCUCUGCGACCUCCAUCUAUCUCCUCCGCCGCGACGUGACGCGACGCAGCCACCGGCGGCAACUCCCUUCCUUCCUCCACGAGUUAGGGUUUUCAGGUACGGUGGCCACUUCCGUUCUCCUUUCGAUCUCCUGAUGAACCACCUUGUUGGCUGCAGCUACCUCGCUCCACCAGCUGCAUCACCGAGGAACCUGCAGCGGCGGCAAGAAAAGAUCCCCUGCGUCUAGGGGAUUUCGCGCUUCGGCAGCCGCGGGCGAGACCAAACAUCCUUGCUCUCCACCUCUGCCCAGCAACGCCUAGCGCAGCCGCCGGAGAUCAUGGGGACACGGGAGGUGUAUGAAGAGAAGCUCCGAAGCGGCGCCCACCUCCACCGUGACCCCACCAUCAACCCUGGCCUUGGCUCUGCCCGCUGCCCUCGUUGUCUCUCCCUUCUCAACCCUACCACCAACUCUGGAGAGGGCGACUGGGCCGUCACCUCCGUCCUGCACGAUGCCACCUCUGUGACUGGUGCGGGUGCUGGCGCGAUGCUCAGUGCCAUCCACGGGUUUAAUACAGGGAUCCCGUUUGUCCAGAAGCAUGUGAAGGGGCCAAAGUGGCUGCAUUUACUUGUUGGGGUCCCUCCUUUGAUCCUACUCUCUGGUGCAAGUUCUUUAUUUGGUGCAUAUGCCCUCCCGACUUUUGCUCAACUCACUGUGACAUCGUAUUAUGCUGCAUCAAGUGCCUCACACUAUGCAAUUUCACAGAUCACGCGCCAGAUCGAGAAGUUCCAUCUAUCGGGCACUAAUGAGAAAUCUUCAUGAGCUGCUCUCAAUCAGUUUGAGUUGGUGCAGAUGCCAUGUACAUGAUUGUUGUUACAAACCUGCUGACAUCAAUUUGUUGGAAGAGAAGAAAAUUGUCGGGCAAGUCGGUGAGUCCGUGGCGUACCUGAACAGCAGCAACGCUUACAUAGAAGCUGAGCUUUGUUUUUUGAACGGACAUAGAAGCCGAGGGUGUUCUGUUGGCAAUGAGCGUUUUAACAGAUGGGGGUGUGAUGGCUGUCAAAAAUGCUGCAUGUGAGAGGCUUGUGGAGCAGAGGGUGGAGAACUGGAGAACUGGAGAUCAAGAUGAAAUCAAAGAAGAUCACAGGGAGGCCUACUUUCAUCCCUCAGGGUGUCCUGGAGGCUCAAGCAGUUGCUGUUGCAAAGGAAAAGAAGAAACUUUGAGAGGGACCCUGAGAAUGAAAAUCGAGGUGCUGGUGUCUAUUCUGCCAGUCUCAAGAAGCAUUAUAUAUUGGCCAAUUAUGAAUGGAAGGAAGGCAUUCUCCCUGAGAUAUUGCAUGAACAAAAUGUUGCUGAUUUCCUGGAACCAGAUAUCUUGAAAAGUUGUGAGAACUGGAAAGGGAGGAGGGGCUCCGUCUUGAAGAGGAAGCUGCCAAAGAUGCUUUCAUGAUCGGUGGCCAUGAUGAAUUAACUGAAGAGCAGCUUGAAAUAUUGGGCAAGAGUAGGAAGAAGGCAAUGCUCAACCAAAAGCAUAGGAUGAACAGAACUGCAGAGAGCCAUCCUAUCAUUCCAAGGAAGCAUCACAAAGAUAGGAAAUGCACAACCAAGAGAAUGGGCAGGCAACUUUCAUCCCUGGGCGUUGAUCCUGUGGCUGUGAACCGACUUCGCAGCCAGUGAAGAGGCUUUAAGCGUGAGAGGUGGUGGUAUGGAGGUAGAUGGCCAGCACUCUGCUCAAAAGAAACUGUGAACAAGGUUUAGGUCAAGGUUCCAAUCACGACCGGUCAAGGAGGUCAUACCAGGUUACUCUGCUCAAAAGAAGAAGGCCAUCAAGAAAUCAAGAGACUUGGUGAAGAACGCCAUGGAGAGCCGUGUUGUGAAGCGUAUAAGUGGAUUGUACUAGCCCUUUCCAUCAGUUCGGACUUUUGGUUGGGUUGGCUAGUGCAUGAAGCUUGACAAGGCGGACCGUGUCAUCCCCACCUUGAAACUGCGGCACUGCUGCUUGCCAUCACUGGAUCAGGAACUCCAGGAAUUACUCUUACUAUCGGGCUGGGGAUCAGGGGAGGCUUCAAUACCCAGCCAGCAGGAUGAGAUACUACUGUCUAUACUUCUUUCUGGUUUUCGCUCUCAUUUCGGCAUCUUUUUCUUUUACUAGACUAUAUAUUGUUGCUGAACUACAUGAUACCUCUGGGUUAUUCUGUUAUAUCCAAAUGGGCGCUUGUUUUCUUUUUAUUCAAACGUUAGUACUGUAAUAUUCAACUUGAUAGCUCCUCCAUAGAUUCUUUUUUUUUGUUUCGAUUUGUUCUGUCCGGUUGUUGUCACGAGCACCGUUGAUUGAACACAUGAAGUGUUUUUUUAAGAAAAAAUAUUGGAGUUCCUGACACUAUACAGUAAAUGUGCAUGCUAUCUAUAUGCCUGCAUCAUUUUUGUUUGGGAUGCCAAUUUUAUCAUGAUAUUUCUGUCAGAAUGGCUUGCCUAUCCAAAAGAUGGAAUGUUGCACUUGGAUGUAUGAUUAUCUGCUUAAAAUGUGACCCUGAUAUACUCAUGACUGGCUAUCAGAACUAAUGGAUCUAAACUGGUUAUGCAUGGUGCUGGUAAGAAAAAAGAUUUCGUUUGUGACUGAACAACCAGUUCUGUCAUCCUUGCUCGAGCCUCGAGGAAUGAUCGAGGGUAUUCUUUUUAUUUGUAGCUUAAAUGAUCUAUUCAGUUCUGGAAAUAAUGUUGGUUUUGUUUACUUCUCCCAGGUUGUAGCUGCCAGUGCUAAUCUAGUACUGACCUCUAGUUUGCGAGCUCCUGUAAGAUGUCAAAGCCGCUAAAAUCUGGCUAACCGGGAAACAUAUUAGUCUAUUCCGGAAAUACCUUCAUUCUGAGUUCAAUAUUCUUUAGCUUAUCUGUUGCUCUAGAAUCUCAAAUAUCCCAAUAGAAUCAUAAAUGCUCUACCAAUUUUGUAGUGUAAAUAUGUGGCCGUAACAAGAUUCGGGUUACUUUGGCUCACCCCUGUACAAAACCUUGUAAUGUAAAUAUGUAAUUGCAGAAUGGUGUUCUUGUGCAACUUGUGCAAAAGCUGUAACUAGAUUCUA
Lolium perenne is the source of this 3098-nucleotide non-coding RNA. The record is from RefSeq and is a predicted model, not a curated record. NCBI's taxonomy places the organism in Eukaryota, Viridiplantae, Streptophyta, Magnoliopsida, Poales, Poaceae.